This 309-nucleotide ribosomal RNA is filed under the name uncultured eukaryote. RNAcentral describes it as "partial 18S ribosomal RNA". It matches the Rfam family "Eukaryotic small subunit ribosomal RNA", at positions 1470 to 1796 of the family's 1831-position model. The record is from RNAcentral.
CCCUUAGAUGUUCUGGGCUGCACGCGUGCUACAAUGGCGCUUGCAACAAGUCUUGCCAACCCGAUAGGGUGAGCGGAUCUUUGAAGAGGCGUCGUGAUCGGGACAGUUGAUUGCAAUUAUUCGACUCGAACGAGGAAUUCCUUGUAAUCGCGAUUCAUCAUAUCGCGCUGAAUACGUCCCUGCCCUUUGUACACACCGCCCGUCGCUCCUACCGAUUGGGUGAGCCGAUGAAACUCUCGGAUGUAGGCUAUUCAUAGCCCGCAGAAGAGAUUUGAAUCGUAGCGCUUAGAGGAAGGAGAAGUCGUAACA